AAUUAAGUAUCUUAAUAUAAAGUAAUAAUUUUUUAAAUUAUAAAUAGUAAAUUUACUCUUAAUUA
Molecule: transfer RNA, 65 nt
Filed under: Platygaster sp. ZJUH_2016026
Lineage: Eukaryota; Metazoa; Arthropoda; Insecta; Hymenoptera; Platygastridae
Description: tRNA-Lys
Source: RNAcentral